RNAcentral lists this ribosomal RNA (406 nucleotides) under uncultured bacterium. RNAcentral describes it as "partial 16S ribosomal RNA". It matches the Rfam family "Bacterial small subunit ribosomal RNA", at positions 30 to 526 of the family's 1533-position model. The record is from RNAcentral.
AUUGAACGCUGGCGGCAGGCCUAACACAUGCAAGUCGAACGAGUGGCGGACGGGCGAGAAAUGUCUGGGAAACUGCCUGAUGGAGGGGGAUAACUACUGGAAAAGGUAGCUAAUACCGCAUACCAUCGGAUGUGCCCAGAUGUGAAUAGCUAGUAGGUGGGGUAAAGGCUCACCUAGGCGACGAUCCCUAGCUGGUCUGAGAGGAUGACCAGCCACACUGGAACUGAGACACGGUCCAGACUCCUACGGGAGGCAGCAGUGGGGAAUAUUGCAAAAUGGGCGCAAGCCUGAUGCAGCCAUGCCGCGUGUAUGAAGAGGGCCUUCGGGUUGUAAAGUACUGUCAGCGGGGAGGCGUUACCCGAAGAAGAAGCAGCGGCUAACUCCGUGCCAGCAGCCGCGGUAAUAC